AGAUACCUAAUUUUCACUAACCCUAACCCUAAUCACUUUCAUUUCUUCCUCUACAACGUACUGCCUCUCUCUCUCUGGCAAUAAGCGAUUCUAAAACCCAAAAAAAUCUCUGUCUCACACCUUCGUUUUCUCCAUAGUUUCUCCUCUUCUUCUUCUCCAUAAUUUCUUGUCUCUACCGCCGAACUAAUCGAAGAAGAUGUGAUCUCACGGGCAAAGUGAUGAGUUCGAGGCGGAAAGAUCUCAGAUCUGUUUUUGUGUUGUCGUCGGCAGAAAAAGAGGACACGACGGAGCUUGAAGACGGCACCAGAUCUUCUUUUUUAGCCUUCGACUUGGGUUUACCCGGCGCGAUUUUGGUCUAGAUCGAUUUUAUCUCUCUCCUGCGGCUCUUCGUGGUGGCUAAUUUCUUGUGCGGGGUUUCAUGGCGAGGAGUCUCAGUAGCUGUUCAGAGCAGCUGCGGCGGUGGUGCACACUGACUCUGAUAAGCUUAGUCUCAGGUAGGUCUCUGAUGCUAGGACCUGUGUUUCUAAGUUAUGAGCCAAGUGUGAGGGGUGAGAAGGUUUGCUCAGCCUGUUAGUGACCAAGCCGUUGGGAAUGGAGUUAUUUGUGGAGUCAGACCUGAUCAGCAAUCGUUAUGGUUGAUACUUUUAUCGAUGAGGAUGAUGUUUCAAGGAGACAAGGACAUGCAGGAAGUGGAGAAGGAAACAUUGGGGAUGAAAACAUAGUGGUUUUGGAACUUAUUUAUUCUUUUAUGUGUUGUGUCAGUGUGUGAUAAUUAUCAAAGUGAUGGUUUUUUUAUAAUAACAUGGAUCCUAUAUUUGUUUCUAUUAUAAAAUUUGUGUUUAUCAGAUUUCAAAUUUUACAAAAUUAUGACUAUUAUAAAAUUUGUACCAGAGUAGAUCUUGUUUCUUUGUCGUUUGGGUCUGAUGCUCUCUGUUUUACUUUCGUGUGUAAUAUCUAUCUUUUAAAUAAUGCAGAGCAUCUGUUGAGAU
Long non-coding RNA from Camelina sativa (false flax), 989 nucleotides. RefSeq lists it as uncharacterized. NCBI's taxonomy places the organism in Eukaryota, Viridiplantae, Streptophyta, Magnoliopsida, Brassicales, Brassicaceae. The record is from RefSeq and is a predicted model, not a curated record.